GAUGAACGCUGGCGGCGUGCUUAACACAUGCAAGUCGAGCGAAAAUAAUUAGGAGCUUGCUCUUGAUUAUUUUAGCGGCGGACGGGUGAGUAACGUGUGGGCAACCUGCCUUUUACUGGGGAAUAAUCACUGGAAACGGUGACUAAUACCGCAUACGGUUCUUAGAAGGCAUCUUCUAAGAAAGAAAGGAUUUAUUCGGUAAAAAAUGGGCCCGCAUCUGAUUAGCUAGUUGGUGAGAUAAUAGCCCACCAAGGCAACGAUCAGUAGCCGACCUGAGAGGGUGACCGGCCACAUUGGGACUGAGACACGGCCCAA
This 315-nucleotide ribosomal RNA is filed under the name uncultured bacterium. RNAcentral describes it as "bacterial SSU rRNA". It matches the Rfam family "Bacterial small subunit ribosomal RNA", at positions 28 to 334 of the family's 1533-position model. The record is from RNAcentral.